Mugil cephalus (flathead mullet) is the source of this 586-nucleotide long non-coding RNA. RefSeq lists it as uncharacterized. The transcript has 2 exons. The record is from RefSeq and is a predicted model, not a curated record. Lineage: Eukaryota; Metazoa; Chordata; Actinopteri; Mugiliformes; Mugilidae.
GGCCCCAACACAUGGUUGGCUCUUACACAGAGACAGUCUGAGGUUCAAAUGUGUUCAUUGAGCCAGAAGGGCAUAGUUAAAAGGUCUGGGAUCUGGACUGUGAGCUCCAGAGCAGCUGUGAUCCACUGUAAAAAGGUCUGAUGAGGGUCUAAACUAGUCUGUGUACUGUAUGUUCUGCUCAGGAGCUCCCAGGGGCACAUGGGAAGUUCUGUGUGACGAGUCUUUACAUCAGGACGAGAGGAAACAACCUGUUCAGGUCAGUGUUGGUUCCACCACCUCCACCAGAGCUGCUGUCACACUCACAUCCUCAACUACCUCCAUUUGUGCUGCUGCUUUGUCCAGUGUGGGCUAAAGAAGAUCAAGGAGACAGACACAGAGACGUAAAGAGGACUGGUAGGAGCCUGAACUACUUUCCUGCUGCAAAAGAACAGGACCCACAUGAACGGACGGCCUCAAUCACCUGAAACAGAGCUGUGCUCCUCCAACUCCUCCACUGGUUGUUAAACAGGCUGCUCCUCAAGUACAGUUUCUGUGACUGAGGUUGUUGUGAAGUGUGAACACUCAGUAAACUCUAUACAUUCUCGAA